UCUUCCGUAGUAUAGUGGUCAGUAUGUGAGCUUGUCAUCCAAUGUCAUCGCUCGAGACCCGGGUUCAAUUCCCGGCGGGAGAG
Molecule: transfer RNA, 83 nt
Rfam family: tRNA
About the family: Transfer RNA (tRNA) molecules are approximately 80 nucleotides in length.